AGCAGCAUACAGGAGAGAGGAGCUCCGCUGUGCUCUGGAGCCUGCUUGACUAUUAUCCAAAGGUAAAAACAUAAUUUGGACUGGACCAGGUCAUAGGAAAAGAAAGGUCAUACUUCACCAAUGCGUUUAGAGGAUUUGAAGAGGCAGAGCCUGCAUCGUAAAUAAACACAUCAGCAAUAAACAUAUGGCACAUGACUGAGAGACUUUAAUGAUCCUAAUGUCGCAAACAUUGCCUGGAGGAAGAGGAGGAGAGGCUGCAGAGGGCACAGCCUGAUGAAGGAAUGCCCAUAAGAAGUCUACAGGAGGCAUCAGACAGCAACAUGAGCAACCCAGAGUGUUCUCCUACCUGAAAUGCUCCACAAAAAACCUGCACAAAGAGUUAAAUUUUCUUCCACUUCGUUCCCAUCUUCCUUUUUUUCUGCAAUAUUUUAAAAGGUAUGAAUGAAGUGCAAACAUGUUUAAGAUGUGCUAUAUUUGCCGAUCAUUUUUGAAGCCAGU
This 498-nucleotide long non-coding RNA is filed under the name Gallus gallus (chicken). RNAcentral describes it as "long non-coding RNA NONGGAT007851". The record is from RNAcentral. Lineage: Eukaryota; Metazoa; Chordata; Aves; Galliformes; Phasianidae.